This 60-nucleotide non-coding RNA is filed under the name Blattella germanica (German cockroach). Lineage: Eukaryota; Metazoa; Arthropoda; Insecta; Blattodea; Blattellidae. The record is from RNAcentral.
CAGUCAUGAUGUUGAUGAUGUCAUGAAAUCAAUAUUGACAUUAUCAUCAUCCUGAUUGUC